GAGGAAAGUCCGGGCUUACAAACAUUUGUUUCGCAGGAUAAUCUCCCGUACGAGUAAUUGUGAGGAAAGUGCCACAGAAAAGAUAUACCGCUAUGAUUUUAGCAAGGGUGCAACGGUGUGUUUGAUGUAUUUAUCAUUUACUAGCAUAGCAUAUCAACAGGGUUAACAUCAUUAUAUGUAGUAAAAUAUUAGUAAUUUUAAUGAUUAUAUUUUAUCUGAACACACGAUAAUAUAAAUACUUUUAUUUUGGAUAUUUUACGAUAAAUUAACCUAAAUUUGUAUAGAAUGUUCAGUGAUGAAAAAUACUAAUGAAUUUAAAAAAAAUAGAGGUUAAAAAAAGUUUUGUGUUUACUCAUAUUAUUUUCCCUCAUGAGCAUUUAGUGUAUAAAUACACAUUGCAUGUUCUUAGAAAAAGUAAACUUAAUCUGUUAAAAGCAUACCAGGAAUAUUGAAAAAUGUUAGCUAGGUAAACCCCGAUAGUAAGCAAACUCACCUAUUAAGUGAAUGUGUUUUUAAUAGUGAUCAUGAAGUGCACAAGGUUAGAAGCAAUUUUAACUUAAGAUAAAUAACCAUCCUUUUAAAUGAUAAUAUUAUUUUGUUGUUUAAAAGAACCAAACCCGGCUUAA
This 626-nucleotide non-coding RNA is filed under the name Porphyropsis coccinea. Lineage: Eukaryota; Rhodophyta; Compsopogonophyceae; Erythropeltidales; Erythrotrichiaceae. The record is from RNAcentral.